GGGGAUGUGGUCUAGUGGUAUGACGGAUCCUUAGCAGCACCUUGAGAGGUACUCAAGUCUGGAUCAGGUCCAGGGUUCGAUUCCCUGCAUCUCCA
RNAcentral lists this transfer RNA (95 nucleotides) under Ceratocystis platani. It matches the Rfam family "tRNA". Rfam says of the family: Transfer RNA (tRNA) molecules are approximately 80 nucleotides in length. Their secondary structure includes four short double-helical elements and three loops (D, anti-codon, and T loops). RNAcentral also lists the same sequence under 1 other name. The record is from Rfam by way of RNAcentral. Lineage: Eukaryota; Fungi; Ascomycota; Sordariomycetes; Microascales; Ceratocystidaceae.